UGGACCAAUGAUGAGAAUGAAUCAUGAACCAAGGAUUAUAAUUAAUCCAAUGCUCUGUACCUGAGGUUCUCC
RNAcentral lists this small nucleolar RNA (72 nucleotides) under Tursiops truncatus (common bottlenose dolphin). RNAcentral's name for it is "Small nucleolar RNA SNORD112 (ENSTTRG00000024486.1)". The record is from RNAcentral. Lineage: Eukaryota; Metazoa; Chordata; Mammalia; Artiodactyla; Delphinidae.